Molecule: ribosomal RNA, 670 nt
Filed under: Alteromonas sp. enrichment culture clone DMSP02
Lineage: Bacteria; Pseudomonadati; Pseudomonadota; Gammaproteobacteria; Alteromonadales; Alteromonadaceae
Also listed under: 1 other name
Description: bacterial SSU rRNA
Rfam family: Bacterial small subunit ribosomal RNA
Source: RNAcentral
CGGGUGAGUAAUGCUUGGGAACUUGCCUUUGCGAGGGGGAUAACAGUUGGAAACGACUGCUAAUACCGCAUAAUGUCUUCGGACCAAACGGGGCUUCGGCUCCGGCGCAAAGAGAGGCCCAAGUGAGAUUAGCUAGUUGGUAAGGUAACGGCUUACCAAGGCGACGAUCUCUAGCUGUUCUGAGAGGAAGAUCAGCCACACUGGGACUGAGACACGGCCCAGACUCCUACGGGAGGCAGCAGUGGGGAAUAUUGCACAAUGGGGGAAACCCUGAUGCAGCCAUGCCGCGUGUGUGAAGAAGGCCUUCGGGUUGUAAAGCACUUUCAGUUGUGAGGAAAAGUUAGUAGUUAAUACCUGCUAGCCGUGACGUUAACAACAGAAGAAGCACCGGCUAACUCCGUGCCAGCAGCCGCGGUAAUACGGAGGGUGCGAGCGUUAAUCGGAAUUACUGGGCGUAAAGCGCACGCAGGCGGUUUGUUAAGCUAGAUGUGAAAGCCCCGGGCUCAACCUGGGAUGGUCAUUUAGAACUGGCAGACUAGAGUCUUGGAGAGGGGAGUGGAAUUCCAGGUGUAGCGGUGAAAUGCGUAGAUAUCUGGAGGAACAUCAGUGGCGAAGGCGACUCCCUGGCCAAAGACUGACGCUCAUGUGCGAAAGUGUGGGUAGCGAACAG